RNAcentral lists this ribosomal RNA (68 nucleotides) under Spirochaetia bacterium. RNAcentral describes it as "partial 16S ribosomal RNA". It matches the Rfam family "Bacterial small subunit ribosomal RNA", at positions 1 to 67 of the family's 1533-position model. Lineage: Bacteria; Pseudomonadati; Spirochaetota; Spirochaetia. The record is from RNAcentral.
UAUAACGGAGAGUUUGAUCCUGGCUCAGAACGAACGCUGGCGGCGCGUUUUAAGCAUGCAAGUCGAGC